This 961-nucleotide ribosomal RNA is filed under the name Micrococcus sp. MCCC 1A09957. RNAcentral's name for it is "bacterial SSU rRNA". It matches the Rfam family "Bacterial small subunit ribosomal RNA", at positions 55 to 1027 of the family's 1533-position model. The record is from RNAcentral. Lineage: Bacteria; Bacillati; Actinomycetota; Actinomycetes; Micrococcales; Micrococcaceae.
AUGCAGUCGAACGAUGAAGCCCAGCUUGCUGGGUGGAUUAGUGGCGAACGGGUGAGUAACACGUGAGUAACCUGCCCUUAACUCUGGGAUAAGCCUGGGAAACUGGGUCUAAUACCGGAUAGGAGCGCCUACCGCAUGGUGGGUGUUGGAAAGAUUUAUCGGUUUUGGAUGGACUCGCGGCCUAUCAGCUUGUUGGUGAGGUAAUGGCUCACCAAGGCGACGACGGGUAGCCGGCCUGAGAGGGUGACCGGCCACACUGGGACUGAGACACGGCCCAGACUCCUACGGGAGGCAGCAGUGGGGAAUAUUGCACAAUGGGCGAAAGCCUGAUGCAGCGACGCCGCGUGAGGGAUGACGGCCUUCGGGUUGUAAACCUCUUUCAGUAGGGAAGAAGCGAAAGUGACGGUACCUGCAGAAGAAGCACCGGCUAACUACGUGCCAGCAGCCGCGGUAAUACGUAGGGUGCGAGCGUUAUCCGGAAUUAUUGGGCGUAAAGAGCUCGUAGGCGGUUUGUCGCGUCUGUCGUGAAAGUCCGGGGCUUAACCCCGGAUCUGCGGUGGGUACGGGCAGACUAGAGUGCAGUAGGGGAGACUGGAAUUCCUGGUGUAGCGGUGGAAUGCGCAGAUAUCAGGAGGAACACCGAUGGCGAAGGCAGGUCUCUGGGCUGUAACUGACGCUGAGGAGCGAAAGCAUGGGGAGCGAACAGGAUUAGAUACCCUGGUAGUCCAUGCCGUAAACGUUGGGCACUAGGUGUGGGGACCAUUCCACGGUUUCCGCGCCGCAGCUAACGCAUUAAGUGCCCCGCCUGGGGAGUACGGCCGCAAGGCUAAAACUCAAAGGAAUUGACGGGGGCCCGCACAAGCGGCGGAGCAUGCGGAUUAAUUCGAUGCAACGCGAAGAACCUUACCAAGGCUUGACAUGUUCCCGAUCGCCGUAGAGAUACGGUUUCCCCUUUUGGGGC